AGAGUUUGAUCAUGGCUCAGAUUGAACGCUGGCGGCAGGCCUAACACAUGCAAGUCGAGCGGUAGCACAGAGAGCUUGCUCUCGGGUGACGAGCGGCGGACGGGUGAGUAAUGUCUGGGAAACUGCCUGAUGGAGGGGGAUAACUACUGGAAACGGUAGCUAAUACCGCAUAACGUCGCAAGACCAAAGUGGGGGACCUUCGGGCCUCAUGCCAUCAGAUGUGCCCAGAUGGGAUUAGCUAGUAGGUGGGGUAACGGCUCACCUAGGCGACGAUCCCUAGCUGGUCUGAGAGGAUGACCAGCCACACUGGAACUGAGACACGGUCCAGACUCCUACGGGAGGCAGCAGUGGGGAAUAUUGCACAAUGGGCGCAAGCCUGAUGCAGCCAUGCCGCGUGUGUGAAGAAGGCCUUCGGGUUGUAAAGCACUUUCAGCGGGGAGGAAGGCGAUAAGGUUAAUAACCUCAUCGAUUGACGUUACCCGCAGAAGAAGCACCGGCUAACUCCGUGCCAGCAGCCGCGGUAAUACGGAGGGUGCAAGCGUUAAUCGGAAUUACUGGGCGUAAAGCGCACGCAGGCGGUCUGUCAAGUCGGAUGUGAAAUCCCCGGGCUCAACCUGGGAACUGCAUUCGAAACUGGCAGGCUAGAGUCUUGUAGAGGGGGGUAGAAUUCCAGGUGUAGCGGUGAAAUGCGUAGAGAUCUGGAGGAAUACCGGUGGCGAAGGCGGCCCCCUGGACAAAGACUGACGCUCAGGUGCGAAAGCGUGGGGAGCAAACAGGAUUAGAUACCCUGGUAGUCCACGCCGUAAACGAUGUCGAUUUGGAGGUUGUGCCCUUGAGGCGUGGCUUCCGGAGCUAACGCGUUAAAUCGACCGCCUGGGGAGUACGGCCGCAAGGUUAAAACUCAAAUGAAUUGACGGGGGCCCGCACAAGCGGUGGAGCAUGUGGUUUAAUUCGAUGCAACGCGAAGAACCUUACCUGGUCUUGACAUCCACAGAACUUUCCAGAGAUGGAUUGGUGCCUUCGGGAACUGUGAGACAGGUGCUGCAUGGCUGUCGUCAGCUCGUGUUGUGAAAUGUUGGGUUAAGUCCCGCAACGAGCGCAACCCUUAUCCUUUGUUGCCAGCGGUUAGGCCGGGAACUCAAAGGAGACUGCCAGUGAUAAACUGGAGGAAGGUGGGGAUGACGUCAAGUCAUCAUGGCCCUUACGACCAGGGCUACACACGUGCUACAAUGGCAUAUACAAAGAGAAGCGACCUCGCGAGAGCAAGCGGACCUCAUAAAGUAUGUCGUAGUCCGGAUUGGAGUCUGCAACUCGACUCCAUGAAGUCGGAAUCGCUAGUAAUCGUAGAUCAGAAUGCUACGGUGAAUACGUUCCCGGGCCUUGUACACACCGCCCGUCACACCAUGGGAGUGGGUUGCAAAAGAAGUAGGUAGCUUAACCUUCGGGAGGGCGCUUACCACUUUGUGAUUCAUGACUGGGGUGAAGUCGUAACAAGGUAACCGUAGGGGAACCUGCGGUUGGAUCACCU
RNAcentral lists this ribosomal RNA (1528 nucleotides) under Klebsiella pneumoniae. RNAcentral's name for it is "bacterial SSU rRNA". It matches the Rfam family "Bacterial small subunit ribosomal RNA". The record is from RNAcentral. Lineage: Bacteria; Pseudomonadati; Pseudomonadota; Gammaproteobacteria; Enterobacterales; Enterobacteriaceae.